AUUGCCUGGGAAUCUUGGUAAAAUGUAGAUUCUUAUUCAGUAAAUCUGAGCUUGGGCCUGAGAUUCUGCAUUUCUAGCAAGCUCUGAGGUGAUGUUGG
This 98-nucleotide microRNA precursor is filed under the name Equus asinus (donkey). Its description in RNAcentral is "mir-544 microRNA precursor family". It matches the Rfam family "mir-544 microRNA precursor family". RNAcentral also lists the same sequence under 1 other name. Lineage: Eukaryota; Metazoa; Chordata; Mammalia; Perissodactyla; Equidae. The record is from Rfam by way of RNAcentral.